AAUUUGGUACAGAAAAACUGGCACUACCAAAAGAGAUUGUAUCAUUGUUCCCCUCGUUAAGGAUUCAAGUGCCCUUUGGUGAAAAUGAGGGACAUGAGCAUUUUUUGCUGGGCCAUCACACAGUGGAUUUAUUGAAAUGAGAUUACGUAACAUUAGAUGGAAGCUUCAACAGAGCCAGCGGGUGUACAAUUUGAAACAUCGUCAUUGUACACCGCAACCUUCUUUACCAAGUCAAGAUGAAACUGUACCAAGUGAGUGGUUGACUCUGAUAAAGAGGAUUUCUUGACAUGCCAGCUUUGAUGGACAUUGAAUCCGGAAAUGGGACGGGACGAUAAUUCCAAAACUCAAGAAAAUAGCAUCCUUGGAGAGGAAAAAUGACAUCAGACACUUACUGGAGAAGGCUGACAAUAAGCAUGAUGGUAUGAGCUGUGUUACACUAUGUUGAAGAUCCUUAUUCAUCUUCUUCCACCCACUGCAUCUGUGAGAAGUGUUGCUGGGAGUAAAUGCUGUGUGACUUCUGCUGUGUCCUACCUGUUGGUACAAGUUCCGGCUGGUACUAACGUUACAUCUUUGCUUGCUGAAUCCAUGAAAGGGACCCUAAAGUCAGCUCAGCCGCAGUUGUUUUCCAUCGGUUCUAUAGGACAUGAUCCCAGUACGUAAUUGUGGCAAAGAAUGACUCUUUUGCUCUUCCAUUUGAUGUUGAAAGCCUGACCUGUGCUGUGACAGACUUUUCAAAUUCUUCUGGCUGUGCAAUCUUCAGUAUCCAUGCCAACUGUCUUCUGUUUUUCUUUUUUUGAGUGUAUAUAUAUAUAUAUAUAUAUGACCUGUCUUUGUCUCAGUCAUCUUGCAAACGAUCAAAGUUCAUGGAAUUGAUUGCUAAGGUGCAGUCUCGUACCUAAUUGAAAUAAGCAUGUACACCUGUCCAAAGUGUCUUCAAAAUGAUUGUGUUGAAACAAAGGGGUUAAUUUGGCAUUUAAGGGAAGUGCAUGUACUCUCUGAUAGUCACAACCUAACUAUUAUUUUGUCAAAAUGGUUAAUUACAAUUCCUUUUUAAAACAUCUGAACAGACAUCACUUUAAAAUGAAUUCAUGCCCUUCUAUAGAGUCAGGACAC
Molecule: long non-coding RNA, 1113 nt
Organism: Danio aesculapii
Lineage: Eukaryota; Metazoa; Chordata; Actinopteri; Cypriniformes; Danionidae
Exons: 5
Source: RefSeq, a predicted model, not a curated record